This 540-nucleotide ribosomal RNA is filed under the name uncultured bacterium. RNAcentral's name for it is "partial 16S ribosomal RNA". It matches the Rfam family "Bacterial small subunit ribosomal RNA", at positions 355 to 887 of the family's 1533-position model. The record is from RNAcentral.
UGGGGAAUUUUGGACAAUGGGGGAAACCCUGAUCCAGCCAUCCCGCGUGUGCGAUGAAGGCCUUCGGGUUGUAAAGCACUUUUGGCAGGAAAGAAACGUCGCGGGUUAAUACCCCGCGAAACUGACGGUACCUGCAGAAUAAGCACCGGCUAACUACGUGCCAGCAGCCGCGGUAAUACGUAGGGUGCAAGCGUUAAUCGGAAUUACUGGGCGUAAAGCGUGCGCAGGCGGUUCGGAAAGAAAGAUGUGAAAUCCCAGAGCUUAACUUUGGAACUGCAUUUUUAACUACCGGGCUAGAGUGUGUCAGAGGGAGGUGGAAUUCCGCGUGUAGCAGUGAAAUGCGUAGAUAUGCGGAGGAACACCGAUGGCGAAGGCAGCCUUCUGGGAUAACACUGACGCUCAUGCACGAAAGCGUGGGGAGCAAACAGGAUUAGAUACCCUGGUAGUCCACGCCCUAAACGAUGUCAACUAGCUGUUGGGGGCCUUCGGGCCUUGGUAGCGCAGCUAACGCGUGAAGUUGACCGCCUGGGGAGUACGGUC